CCCUAACCAGGAUAUAGGAUUAUUUCUUAAUCCUAAUCCUAAUUACAAGUGAACUACAUAACAAAACACAUCCUAAGCAAGUUUUCAACCGCGAACGUAGAGUCUUGUUCCGGCGAGCUUUCCGACGAACUUCUUCCGACGGACUCCCAUCAAGCUCCCGAACUUGUGAUGACUUUAACGAGUAGCCGAGCCUUCUCGGUGAUCUCCGUGAACCUCCGAUAAUCUCUUCGGCGAACUUCCGAAAAUUCCGACAGGUU
RNAcentral lists this long non-coding RNA (257 nucleotides) under Musa acuminata (dwarf banana). Its description in RNAcentral is "long non-coding RNA (MACU_LNC011903)". Lineage: Eukaryota; Viridiplantae; Streptophyta; Magnoliopsida; Zingiberales; Musaceae. The record is from RNAcentral.